CACGGCGCACGGGUGCGUAACACGUGGGUAAUUUGCCCUCUGAUGGGGAAUAACCCCGGGAAACCGGGGCUAAUACCGCAUAACAUUCCUUGGACUCUGGUUUGAGGACUCAAAGCCGUAAGGCGUCAGAGGAGGAGCCCGCGCACGAUUAGCUAGUUGGUAGGGUAACGGCCUACCAAGGCUAUGAUCGUUAGCUGGUCUGAGAGGAUGGCCAGCCACACUGGAACUGAGACACGGUCCAGACUCCUACGGGAGGCAGCAGUGGGGAAUCUUGCGCAAUGGGCGAAAGCCUGACGCAGCGACGCCGCGUGGGGGAUGAAGCUUCUCGGAGUGUAAACCCCUUUCGACCGGGACGAAUACCUCGCAAGAGGGGUGACGGUACCGGUAUAAGAAGCCCCGGCUAACUACGUGCCAGCAGCCGCGGUAAGACGUAGGGGGCCAGCGUUGUUCGGAAUUACUGGGUGUAAAGGGUUCGUAGGCGGUGUGGCAAGUCGGGAGUGAAAUCUCUGGGCUCAACUCAGGGGCUGCUUCCGAAACUGCUGUGCUAGAGUGUGGGAGAGGCGCGUGGAAUUGCAGGUGUAGCGGUGAAAUGCGUAGAUAUCUGCAGGAACACCCGUGGCGAAAGCGGCGCGCUGGACCACUACUGACGCUGAGGAACGAAAGCUAGGGGAGCAAACAGGAUUAGAUACCCUGGUAGUCCUAGCCCUAAACGAUCAGGACUUGGGGUGCCACCCGUUCGGGUGUCGUCCCGGAGCUAACGCGUUAAGUCCUGCACCUGGGGAGUACGGUCGCAAGACUGAAACUCAAAGGAAUUGACGGGGGCCCGCACAAGCGGUGGAACAUGUGGUUCAAUUCGA
RNAcentral lists this ribosomal RNA (857 nucleotides) under uncultured bacterium. RNAcentral's name for it is "bacterial SSU rRNA". It matches the Rfam family "Bacterial small subunit ribosomal RNA", at positions 94 to 954 of the family's 1533-position model. The record is from RNAcentral.